Molecule: ribosomal RNA, 274 nt
Filed under: uncultured bacterium
Lineage: Bacteria
Description: partial 16S ribosomal RNA
Rfam family: Bacterial small subunit ribosomal RNA
Source: RNAcentral
AUACGGAGGGUGCAAGCGUUAAUCGGAAUUACUGGGCGUAAAGCGCGCGUAGGCGGUUUGAUAAGUCGGAUGUGAAAUCCCCGGGCUCAACCUGGGAAUUGCAUUCGAUACUGUCAGGCUAGAGUGUGGUAGAGGGAAGUGGAAUCUCCGGUGUAGCGGUGAAAUGCGUAGAUAUCGGAAGGAACACCAGUGGCGAAGGCGGCUUCCUGGACCAACACUGACGCUGAGGUGCGAAAGCGUGGGGAGCAAACAGGAUUAGAUACCCUAGUAGUCC